GAGNGAGCUUACCAUGCAAGUCUACUUGAUCCUUCGGGUGAAGGUGGCGGACGGGNGAGUAACGCGCCCCCUUNNANNGCCUUACAGACUGGGACAACAUUUGGAAACGAAUGCUUUUACCGGAUAUUAUGACUGAGUCGCAUGAUUUGGUUAUGAAAGCUAUAUGCGCUGUGAGAGAGCUUUGCGUCCCAUUAGUUAGUUGGUGAGGUAACGGCUCACCAAGACGAUGAUGGGUAGCCGGCCUGAGAGGGUGAACGGCCACAAGGGGACUGAGACACGGCCCUUACUCCUACGGGAGGCAGCAGUGGGGAAUAUUGGACAAUGGACCAAAAGUCUGAUCCAGCAAUUCUGUGUGCACGAUGAAGUUUUUCGGAAUGUAAAGUGCUUUCAGUUGGGAAGAAGUCAGUGACGGUACCAACUNAAGAAGCGACGGCUAAAUACGUGCCAGCAGCCGCGGUAAUACGUAUGUCGCAAGCGUUAUCCGGAUUUAUUGGGCGUAAAGCGCGUCUAGGCGGUUUAGUAAGUCUGAUGUGAAAAUGCGGGGCUCAACCCCGUAUUGCGUUGGAAACUGUUAAACUAGAGUACUGGAGAGGUAGGCGGAACUACAAGUGUAGAGGUGAAAUUCGUAGAUAUUUGUAGGAAUGCCGAUGGGGAAGCCAGCCUACUGGACAGAUACUGACGCUAAAGCGCGAAAGCGUGGGUAGCAAACAGGAUUAGAUACCCUGGUAGUCCACGCCGUAAACGAUGAUUACUAGGUGUUGGGGGUCGAACCUCAGCGCCCAAGCUAACGCGAUAAGUAAUCCGCCUGGGGAGUACGUACGCAAGUAUGAAACUCAAAGGAAUUGACGGGGGACCCGCACAAGCGGUGGAGCAUGUGGUUUAAUUCGACGCAACGCGAGGAACCUUACCAGCGUUUGACAUCCCAAGAAGUUAACAGAGAUGUUUUCGUGCCUCUUCGGAGGAACUUGGUGACAGGUGGUGCAUGGCUGUCGUCAGCUCGUGUCGUGAGAUGUUGGGUUAAGUCCCGCAACGAGCGCAACCCCUUUCGUAUGUUACCAUCAUUAAGUUGGGGACUCAUGCGAGACUGCCUGCGAUGAGCAGGAGGAAGGUGGGGAUGACGUCAAGUCAUCAUGCCCCUUAUACGCUGGGCUACACACGUGCUACAAUGGGUAGUACAGAGAGCUGCAAACCUGCGAGGGUAAGCUAAUCUCAUAAAACUAUUCUUAGUUCGGAUUGUACUCUGCAACUCGAGUACAUGAAGUUGGAAUCGCUAGUAAUCGCAAAUCAGNUAUGUUGCGGUGAAUACGUUCUCGGGUCUUGUACACACCNUNAAGUGGCACCACGAGAGUUGGUUGCACCUGAAGUAACCAGGCCUAACCGUAAGGAGGGAUGUUCCAGGGUGU
RNAcentral lists this ribosomal RNA (1403 nucleotides) under bacterium NLAE-zl-P329. RNAcentral describes it as "bacterial SSU rRNA". It matches the Rfam family "Bacterial small subunit ribosomal RNA". The record is from RNAcentral.